GACGAACGCUGGCGGCGUGCUUAACACAUGCAAGUCGAACGGAAAGGCCCUGCUUUUGUGGGGUGCUCGAGUGGCGAACGGGUGAGUAACACGUGAGUAACCUGCCCUUGACUUUGGGAUAACUUCAGGAAACUGGGGCUAAUACCGGAUAGGAGCUCCUGCUGCAUGGUGGGGGUUGGAAAGUUUCGGCGGUUGGGGAUGGACUCGCGGCUUAUCAGCUUGUUGGUGGGGUAGUGGCUUACCAAGGCUUUGACGGGUAGCCGGCCUGAGAGGGUGACCGGCCACAUUGGGACUGAGAUACGGCCCAGACUCCUACGGGAGGCAACAGUGGGGAAUAUUGCACAAUGGGCGGGAGCCUGAUGCAGCAACGCCGCGUGCGGGAUGACGGCCUUCGGGUUGUAAACCGCUUUCGCCUGUGACGAAGCGUGAGUGACGGUAAUGGGUAAAGAAGCACCGGCUAACUACGUG
RNAcentral lists this ribosomal RNA (468 nucleotides) under uncultured bacterium. Its description in RNAcentral is "partial 16S ribosomal RNA". It matches the Rfam family "Bacterial small subunit ribosomal RNA", at positions 28 to 507 of the family's 1533-position model. The record is from RNAcentral.